AUUGAACGCUGGCGGCAGGCCUAACACAUGCAAGUCGAGCGAGCGGCGGACGGGUGAGUAAUGUCUGGGAAACUGCCUGAUGGAGGGGGAUAACUACUGGAAACGGUAGCUAAUACCGCAUACCCUCAGAUGUGCCCAGAUGGGAUUGGCUAGUAGGUGGGGUAACGUCUCACCUAGGCGACGAUCCCUAGCUGGUCUGAGAGGAUGACCAGCAACACUGGAACUGAGCCACGGUCCAGACUCCUACGGUGGGCAGCAGUGGGGAAUAUUGCACAAUGGGCGCAAGACUGAGGCAGCCAUGCCGCGUGUGUGAAGAAGGCUUUCGGGUUGUAAAGCACUUUCAGCGGGGAGGCGUUACCCGCAGAAGAAGCACCGGCUAACUCCGUGCCAGCAGCCGCGGUAAUAC
This 406-nucleotide ribosomal RNA is filed under the name uncultured bacterium. Its description in RNAcentral is "partial 16S ribosomal RNA". It matches the Rfam family "Bacterial small subunit ribosomal RNA", at positions 30 to 526 of the family's 1533-position model. The record is from RNAcentral.